AGGCUGGCUGUGGGUGUGAGGCAGCAGAGGCUUGUGUGUGUCCACCAUGGCCUGGACCGUGCUCCUCCUCGCCCUUCUUGCUCACUGCGCAGGUUCCUGGGCCCAGGUUGUGUUCACUCAGCCUCAGUCUGUGUCGGGGUCACUGGGGGAGACGGUCUCCAUUUCCUGCACCCCCAGCAGUGGUGACAUUAACGAUGCAUAUGUGUCCUGGUACCAGCAGCUCCCAGGCAGGGCUCCCACACUCGUGAUCUAUGAUGAUGAUCAGAGAGCCUCGGGGGUUCCUGAGCGGUUCUCUGGCUCCAUCGACAGCUCGUCCAACUCUGCCUCCCUGACCAUCUCUGGGCUGCAGGCUGAGGACGAGGCUGACUACUUCUGUCAGUCUUAUGAUAGUGGUAGUUACACAGUGCUCCAGCCCUACGGGGAAGUGAGACAAAAACUCACCCAGGCAGCCCACUCUUCGUCUCCUGUCAUCUGUUCUCCAUUAGUGAGGGUGGCACUUUUGGGUGUCCUUGUUGCAUGUAUGAGCAGAAAUUUGCUUUAG
Non-coding RNA from Ochotona curzoniae (black-lipped pika), 541 nucleotides. Lineage: Eukaryota; Metazoa; Chordata; Mammalia; Lagomorpha; Ochotonidae. The record is from the annotation of a RefSeq genome assembly.